Molecule: long non-coding RNA, 1064 nt
Filed under: Oryzias javanicus (javanese ricefish)
Lineage: Eukaryota; Metazoa; Chordata; Actinopteri; Beloniformes; Adrianichthyidae
Description: lncRNA (ENSOJAG00000004683.1)
Source: RNAcentral
CUCAGUUUCUGUUCGGAUUGUGUGAAAGUUGUGUUCUCAAAGCCUCUUAAAGAGGCCCGGCACUCCAAGUCCUCACAGGAAGCACGAUGCUGUCGACCAGAGAGCAGCAGCAGACAUCUGAAACGCUCUGUGGGAACGAGGACAUGAGCAUGCAGGGGGUGGUCUGGGAGCUCCAUCCUCUUUGAGACGAUCCCAUGGAAACGCGCUGGACGUGACUGAACCCUGACAUUUCAGGAAAUGCGAGUCGUGACUGUAAACGUGAACUGGAACAGAAGAGUUCAACAGUUUAGGAGCCGCUUAGCUCUGAGCUUUAAGGGGGAAUCUUCUCAUGGAGGACGUCACAAGGUUUGAAUGCUUCUACCUGUACCUGCUCCUCCAACCUCACAAUGACCAACUACCACUGAUAUCUCGCUGCCAUCCCAGCAUGCACCAUCAACCCAUAAAACCACAGCGAAAUGGCAGGCUUGAAGAUACCGUGAUGACAUCCUACAUCACCAGAGCGUCCUGUAAUCUGUCACACCAGACCUUUUGUGAGAAGAACAAAGCCCGUCUGAUUUAACUGCCUCCUGAUAUGAAACAGAUCAGAAAUGUACCAACAUGUAAUGACUUCCAGGCUUGUAUUUGCAAUACAGACGAGGAUCUUCUGUUCAUUUCCGCUGACAUGCAUGCUUUCUUUCUUUCUUCUCUUUAUUUCAAGCCGCAUUCAUCAACUAUCAAUCUUGUGUGAAAUGUGUCAAAAACUAGACGACAAAUCAACAAAUAACCCACUUAGUAACUUGUCAGUCUUUAGUCAUUCAAUCCAGUGAUGUGUGGGUAGACUUUAAAACUUCACUGACCUGAAGCAACCAAUAGGGUUUGGAGACAAAAACAGGACACCAAGAGCUGAGGACACACAAAACCAGACGCUUUUCAACAGCUAAGAGGACUUUUUCAUGAGUCACACAGCAUUGCAUUUGUAUUCUUACAUCAAUCCCAGAAUCAGAUUACAAACUAGAUUCAUUCCUCACCAGCAAUCUCCAUCGUUAGUUACAGUUCAUGGGAAUACUUGUAUCAUGUGAGGCUAU